This 1487-nucleotide ribosomal RNA is filed under the name uncultured Bordetella sp. RNAcentral's name for it is "partial 16S-23S ribosomal RNA intergenic spacer". It matches the Rfam family "Bacterial small subunit ribosomal RNA". Lineage: Bacteria; Pseudomonadati; Pseudomonadota; Betaproteobacteria; Burkholderiales; Alcaligenaceae. The record is from RNAcentral.
UAUUUGAUCCUGGCUCAGAUUGAACGCUGGCGGGAUGUUUACAUGCAAGUCGAACGGCAGCACGGACUUCCCGGUCUGGUGGCGAGUGGCGAACGGGUGAGUAAUGUAUCGGAACGUGCCUAGUAGCGGGGAUAACUACGCGAAAGCGUAGCUAAUACCGCAUACGCCCUUCGGGGGAAAGCGGGGACCUUCGGGCCUCGCACUAUUAGAGCGGCUGAUAUCGGAUUAGCUAGUUGGUGGGGUAACGGCUCACCAAGGCGACGAUCCGUAGCUGGUUUUGAGAGGACGACCAGCCACACUGGGACUGAGACACGGCCCAGACUCCUACGGGAGGCAGCAGUGGGGAAUUUUUGACAAAUGGGGAAACUCCUGAUCCAGCCAUCCGGGCGUGUGCGAUGAAGGCCUUCGGCUAGAAGCACUUCUUUGGCAGGAAGAAACGGCACGGGAGGACACUCUGUGCAACUGACGGUACCUGCAGAAUAAGCACCGGCUAACUACGUGCCAGCAGCCGCGGUAAUACGUAGGGUGCAAGCGUUAAUCGGAAUUACUGGGCGUAAAGCGUGCGCAGGCGGUUCGAAAGAAAGAUGUGAAAUCCCAGAGCUAACUUUGGAACUGCAUUUUUAACCACUGAGCCAGAGUGUGUCAGAGGGAGGUGGAAUUCCGCGUGUAGCAGUGAAAUGCGUAGAUAUGCGGAGGAACACCGAUGGCGAAGGCAGCCUCUGGGAUAACACUGACGCUCAUGCACGAAAGCGUGGGGAGCAAACAGGAUUAGAUACUCCCGGUAGUCCACGCCCUAAACGAUGUCAACUAGCUGUUGGGGCUCUCUGGGCCUUGGUAGCGCAGCUAACGGGUGCAGUGAAGUUGACCGCCUGGGGAGUACGGUCGCAAGAUUAAAAACCCAAAGGAAUUGACGGGGACCCGCACAAGCGGUGGAUGAUGUGGAUUAAUUGAUGCAACGCGAAAACCUACCUACCCUUGACAUGUCUGGAAUCCCGAAGAGAUUUGGGAGUUCUCGCAAGAGAACCGGAACACAGGUGCUGCAGAUGGCCGUCGUCAGCUCGUGUCGAGAUGUUGGGUUAAGUCCCGCAACGAGCGCAACCCCUUGUCAUUAGUUGCUACGAAAGGUACCCCUGACGAGACUGCCGGUGACAAACCGGAGGAAGGUGGGGAUGACGUCAAGUCCUCAUGGCCCUUAUGGGUAGGGCUUCACACGUCAUACAAUGGUCGGGACAGAGGUCGCCAACCCGCGAGGGGAGCCAAUCCCAGAAACCAUCGUAGUCCGGAUCGCAGUCUGCAACUCGACUGCGUGAAGUCGGAAUCGCUAGUAAUCGCGGAUCAGCAUGUCGCGGUGAAUACGUUCCUGUCUUGUACACACCGCCCGUCACACCAUGGGAGUGGGUUUUACCAGAAGUAGUUAGCCUAACCGUAAGGAGGGUGGCGAUUACCACGGUAGGAUUCAUGACUGGGGUGAAGUCGUAACAAGGUAA